This 813-nucleotide small RNA is filed under the name Pan troglodytes (chimpanzee). RNAcentral describes it as "processed transcript". The record is from RNAcentral. Lineage: Eukaryota; Metazoa; Chordata; Mammalia; Primates; Hominidae.
AGAGCUACCACCAACAACAGUGUCCUUCAGAAGCAGCAACUGGAGCUGAUGGACACAGUCCACAACCUUGUCAAUCUUUGCACUAAAGAAGGUGUUUUGCAAUAUGGAUGUCAAUGGGGGAGGUUGGACUGUAAUACAACAUCGUGAAGAUGGAAGUCUAGAUUUCCAAAGAGGCUGGAAAGAAUAUAAAAUGGUUGUAUUUAAAAGGUCACACUGGGACAGCAGGAAAACAGAGCAGCCUGAUCUUACACGGUGCUGAUUUCAGCACUAAAGAUGCUGAUAAUGACAACUGUAUGUGCAAAUGUGCCCUCAUGUUAACAGGAGGGUGGUGGUUUGAUGCUUGUGGCCCCUCCAAUCUAAAUGGAAUGUUCUAUACUGCGGGACAAAACCAUGGAAAACUGAAUGGGAUAAAGUGGCACUACUUCAAAGGGCCCAGUUACUCCUUACGUUCCACAACUAUGAUGAUUCGACCUUUAGAUUUUUGAAAGCGCAAUGUCAGAAGCGAUUAUGAAAGCAACAAAGAAAUCUGGAGAAGCUGCCAGGUGAGAAACUGUUUGAAAACUUCAGAAGCAAACAAUAUUGUCUCCCUUCCAGCAAUAAGUGGUAGUUAUGUGAAGUCACCAAGGUUCUUGACUGUGAAUCUGGAGCCGUUUGAGUUCACAAGAGUCUCUACUUGGGGUGACAGUGCUCACGUGGCUCGACUAUAGAAAACUCCACUGACUGUCGGGCUUUAAAAAGGGAAGAAACUGCUGAGCUUGCUGUGCUUCAAACUACUACUGGACCUUAUUUUGGAACUAUGGUAGCCAGAUGAUA